This 403-nucleotide ribosomal RNA is filed under the name uncultured bacterium. RNAcentral's name for it is "bacterial SSU rRNA". It matches the Rfam family "Bacterial small subunit ribosomal RNA", at positions 355 to 775 of the family's 1533-position model. The record is from RNAcentral.
UUAGGGAAUUUUCGCACUGGGCGCAAGCCUGACGAAGUGACGCCGCGUGCGGGAGGAAGGCCUUCGGGUCGUAAACCGCUUUUCGGGGGGACGAGAAGGACGGUACCCCCGGAAGAAGCCCCGGCUAACUACGUGCCAGCAGCCGCGGUAAGACGUAGGGGGCGAGCGUUGUCCGGAAUCACUGGGCGUAAAGCGCGCGUAGGCGGCGCGGCGCAUCCACCGUGAAAGCCCACGGCUCAACUGGGGGAGGUCGGUGGAGAUGGUCGCGCUGGAGGGCAGUAGAGGCAGGCGGAAUUCCCGGAGGAGCGGUGACAUGCGUAGAGACCGGGAGGAACACCCGUGGCGAAGGCGGUCUGCUGGGCUGAGCCUGACGCUGAGGCGCGAAAGCCAGGGGAGCGAACGG